This 2603-nucleotide long non-coding RNA is filed under the name Salmo salar (Atlantic salmon). RNAcentral describes it as "lncRNA (ENSSSAG00000086005.1)". Lineage: Eukaryota; Metazoa; Chordata; Actinopteri; Salmoniformes; Salmonidae. The record is from RNAcentral.
UGCUAAAAUAAUGGACUUUGGAACUGUCUGUCUGAGAAGAUGGCUGUCUUUGGAAUGUUCCACCAAACAUGGGGAGGGGGAGGGGUGGGAACGUGCCACUGUGGCAGUUUACCUGGGGGGGGGGUGGACAAAUGGACUCUCCCUCUCUCUGUACUCCUCUGGUGAACUUAUCACUCUGCUGUGGCUAACAGGAUGACUAACUCUCCACUGUGGCCACAGGUGCCAAGAACGCAGGAGCACUUGUAGCACAAUUGUGUCUUUUUUUCCUUCAGUAUGGAUUUUUUUCUCUCCUCCUAGCCAAUAUCUACCGCUUUUGCUCAUAUACCUUAUGUAUCAUAAGCCUAUAUACAAGACAACGUCAUAUAAAGAAAUGCAUUACUAUGACCCGUGGCUAUUUGUUGAAGUUUGAAAUUUGCCAAAGGUGAACGUUUUGUUGCAUUUUUCUCUCAAACUGCUAUGUUGUGUUCAAGAAGUGUCAACAAAAUCCCGUAUUUAUCGGUAUCAUUUUGGAAACCCUGCUCACGUGCCAUCUAAUCAAGCAAUAAAAACAAACAAACAAUGAGAUAACGAGAUAUAAUCGUAUAACUUAUUUUAUUAGCGCGAAAUGCUGCAUUGAUGUUAUAUCUGAUAUGCUGGUGACGGAGGGUCGGUCGCCGUGACGUUAUCACUGUUGGCAUGGCAACACAUCACCACUGACGAUAUGUAGAGGCCUGAAUAAGAGGUGUGAUUGUAUAAUGAUUAUUUUUGUAUUUUUCUUUGUAAGAGGUUUCAAAUUGUUUUUUGUUAACAUUUUUUUUUUUUUUACUUGAAGAUGAAUUCUACUGGUGUACCACUUGCAUUGUUUGUACAGGUGUUAUUGGGAGUAUUGGGGGGAGAAAAGUCCCUCCCAGCAGAGAGGUGAAAGAUGGCAGAGUUUCUGAAAGUGGUCUCUGUUUUCUAUCAGUCAUAUGAGCUUUAUUUAUCAGUCUAAAUCUUGUUUCUGAUUCUCUAGUAGUCAGGAGGAGUAUCACAGUAACUCAACUACAGCCAGGGGUUCGUCACUACUACUGAAAAUAAAAAUCAAUUAGCCCAUAUCAAAGUUUAAAACGCAAGCUGAAAAAAACCUAAAUUAAAAUCUUGUGUGAUUUCCAUGAAAGCGAUUAAAUGUUUUUUUUUUUAUAUAUACUAUCAACAAUUUAAUAAAGUUGUAAAGUGUAUUUUACUGUAAAUAGCAUCCACGAGGUAUUUUUUAUAAUCAUUUUUUAACAGAAAUACCUUAAUAUAACUUUUUUUACGAAGUUUACAAAAUCACACACACUUAAAAAAAUCUAUCCAAACUUGAGAUUCAAUUGGAAUGAUCUCUUCAACUCUCUCACUAAACUCACCAAGCCAGAGACCGUUGGUUCAUUUUCAACUUCUUUCAGAGACCGCUGCCAUCUUUCCCAGGACCAAGGUGCUGUGUGGUUUAACCUCAGUAGUCAGAGAGAAACCUACUGUUGUCCUGUUCUGAUGGAAAGGGAGUGGCCUGUCAGUGGCUGGAGAGCACCCAACACUGUAGCACAGUACUUAGUGGAUGUGUCCAAAAUGGCACUUUAUUCCCUAUGUAGCUAGUGCACUACUUUUGACCAUGGCUCAUAGGGGUAUGGUCAAAAGUAGUGCACUGAAUAGGGAAUAGGGUGCCAUUUCAGACUCAGCCAGUGUAUUCGCUAGCCCCACGUAUUCUCUCCGCUUUCAGAUCCCUAGCUGUCAUGGCCGUCUGUUGCUAGGAAACCAACCCACACAAAGCGCAGCAGGGAAAUGAUAUGCAGCCACACUGAGGGAGUGAGGAGGCAGGCAGGUCAACCAGCCGGGCCGCCCCUGAGGGAGAGGGGGAGGAGUGUGGGAGUGAGUGUGUGGCAAGGCUAAGGCUAUGGUUAAGAGGGGCGAGGCAACCUUGUAUAAGGAUGCCUUGGGUGCUUAAAGUAAACCACUGGGGAAGAAAAAUGAGGUAAAGAGUGACAGGGAAAAGACAGGGUUAUUACAGAGAAGAUGGAUCAGGGUGCGAUUGCACAGACAGUUAAGGGUCUGAGACUGAAGAGCAAAUGAGAAGAGGGGUAGGGGAACCCAAGGGAGAAGGCUUCAAUGGGCUCAAGGCCUUAGCAAGAGGUCAGCCAAGCAGAAAAGAGGUGAAAGGUGGUCACAAGGCAGAGGGAUUUGACCGUGGUUAAAAACGCGGUUAAGGCGUGGCCGGCUCAACCAGACCGUGUCUGACGUUACCUGAAUAGAGUGUAGCUGCAGUGAUGACCUGGUGUACCUUUCUGGGCUCAUAUUUACAAAGCGUCUCAGAGUAGGAAUGCUGAUCUGGGAUCAGUUUGACCUUUUAGAUCAUAAUGAAUAAGAUUUUAUGGACUGGGGGAAACCUGAUCCUAGAUCAGCACGCCUACUUUGAGACGCUUUAUGAAUACGGACUAUCCUUUCUGUUCCGCCUUCUGACGUUCCUUUCUUUUGACUGCUGUAUUAUUACUACUGAUUUACAAUUUUUUUGUUUUUGCCGAUCAAUGGGAACACUGUAAAGCUGUAAAGAUAAAGAUUUCCUGCAUUGUGAAAGAAAAAUGGAUGUACAUAUUGUAUCAAUUAAAACGACA